GACGAACGCUGGCGGCGUGCUUAACACAUGCAAGUCGAACGGAAAGGCCCUGCUUUUGUGGGGUGCUCGAGUGGCGAACGGGUGAGUAACACGUGAGUAACCUGCCCUUGACUUUGGGAUAACUUCAGGAAACUGGGGCUAAUACCGGAUAGGAGAUCCUGCUGCAUGGAGGGGGUUGGAAAGUUUCGGCGGUUGGGGAUGGACUCGCGGCUUAUCAGCUUGUUGGUGGGGUAGUGGCUUACCAAGGCUUUGGCGGGUAGCCGGCCUGAGAGGGUGACCGGCCACAUUGGGACUGCGGUACGGCCCAGACUCCUACGGGAGGCAGCAGUGGGGAAUAUUGCACAAUGGGCGGAAGCCUGAUGCAGCAACGCCGCGUGCGGGAUGACGGCCUGCGGGUUGUAAACCGCUUUCGCCUGUGACGAAGCGUGAGUGACGGUAAUGGGUAAAGAAGCACCGGCUAACUACGUG
RNAcentral lists this ribosomal RNA (468 nucleotides) under uncultured bacterium. Its description in RNAcentral is "partial 16S ribosomal RNA". It matches the Rfam family "Bacterial small subunit ribosomal RNA", at positions 28 to 507 of the family's 1533-position model. The record is from RNAcentral.